RNAcentral lists this transfer RNA (69 nucleotides) under Marmota monax (woodchuck). RNAcentral describes it as "tRNA.Ala". The record is from RNAcentral. Lineage: Eukaryota; Metazoa; Chordata; Mammalia; Rodentia; Sciuridae.
GUGGGUAGCUCAGUGGUAGAGUACGUGUUUUGCAUGUCUGAGGCCCUGGGUUCAGUCCCUAGCACCACA